Long non-coding RNA from Rosa rugosa (rugosa rose), 714 nucleotides. RefSeq lists it as uncharacterized. The transcript is spliced from 3 exons. The record is from RefSeq and is a predicted model, not a curated record. Lineage: Eukaryota; Viridiplantae; Streptophyta; Magnoliopsida; Rosales; Rosaceae.
UCUGACCCGAAACGAAACCCAGAAACCGGCAACAGGGUCUGACCGGCGCUACUUCGUCCGGCCACCGAUCGACGACGGACGACCACCAUCUUCUUCGCCUCUUCGUCGCCUAUAGCCUGAUGCUCUUGGAUCGUCCAUGCACCUGACAAGGACGAAGAGCCGACGGUGAAGGUCCAAGCUUUCGCCGGCGAUUUCUGCAAGUUUCCGGCCACCAUUCAAGGCGCAUUCGGUAUGGAAAUUCAUCCCUUCGUCAUAAUAUACACGAUUUGAUACUUAGUUUUCGGAUUGGAGUGAGUUCUGAUGAAUUGGGUUUCUGGAUUCCUCUCGGUUCCGGUUCUGCUCUUCGACGCAGGCGACUUCUCUGGCCUCUCUUGUUUCGCUCUUCAUCUCGUCUCCACAUGUUGAUGCUUGUCGUUCUAAACUGAAGCUAAAUUCCAAAGAACUGCUAGCUGGUGUUGGAUUCCCAGUUCGUCAUCAUCCCUGUUCAAUCGAGCUUGCUCGAAGUAGCUUUUCAAGGACUCCAGUUACCCGAGGAACAGAAGGUUCGUCACUCUCGGAGUACGUGAGAGAACGCAUCGGAAUCCAGUAUGGAUGCAGGUACUGUGCACUGGUGACGGGACAAUAGCGGAUCGAGCUGGGUGUGCAGAACAAGUUCGGUAAAUUACCGUGUGAACCUUAUUCUAAAUUCUAUUUCUCGAACUUUGUGUUCUGGAA